Molecule: long non-coding RNA, 304 nt
Filed under: Phasianus colchicus (ring-necked pheasant)
Lineage: Eukaryota; Metazoa; Chordata; Aves; Galliformes; Phasianidae
Description: lncRNA (ENSPCLG00000010842.1)
Source: RNAcentral
GAAAAGUUUUGCAUUAAGCAAUAAUCAGACAAGACUCAACAUCAGCAAGGAAAAGAUCAGUGUCAGAGUUUGGUGUACUACCCACAAGGAAGCAAUGGCAUGCAUGCUGCAAUUGAAAAAACACAUUGAAGAGAUGAAAAGCAGCAAUAUGCAAGGUUUGCAAAUAACGUAAGCACAAGAGACAUGGUUUUGUAGCAACUGCUUGCCACCAUGACUGAGAAUGUGGACAUGUCAUCGAUACAUCAGUGAGGAGUGUCUUUCAGGUAAUCUUUUAUAGUGCUGCCAAGUAACUCUGCUCAUUAUG